CUGCCUUCGACAAGGAGGGUUAAGUCGUAACAAGGUAUCUGUAGGGGAACCUGCAGAUGGAUCACCUCCUAAGAAA
Molecule: ribosomal RNA, 76 nt
Filed under: Methanobacteriota archaeon
Lineage: Archaea; Methanobacteriati; Methanobacteriota
Description: Euryarchaeota archaeon partial 16S ribosomal RNA
Rfam family: Archaeal small subunit ribosomal RNA
Source: RNAcentral